RNAcentral lists this transfer RNA (66 nucleotides) under Coptodon zillii (redbelly tilapia). Its description in RNAcentral is "tRNA-Cys". The record is from RNAcentral. Lineage: Eukaryota; Metazoa; Chordata; Actinopteri; Cichliformes; Cichlidae.
AGCCCCGAGGUGUUAUACACGUCAGAUUGCAAAUCUGAAAUGGCAGACUAACCCCUGCCGGGGCUU